RNAcentral lists this ribosomal RNA (254 nucleotides) under uncultured prokaryote. RNAcentral's name for it is "partial 16S ribosomal RNA". It matches the Rfam family "Bacterial small subunit ribosomal RNA", at positions 355 to 621 of the family's 1533-position model. The record is from RNAcentral.
UGGGGAAUAUUGCACAAUGGGCGCAAGCCUGAUGCAGCAACGCCGCGUGAGGGACGACGGCCUUCGGGUUGUAAACCUCUUUUAGCAGGGAAGAAGCGAAAGUGACGGUACCUGCAGAAAAAGCGCCGGCUAACUACGUGCCAGCAGCCGCGGUAAUACGUAGGGCGCAAGCGUUAUCCGGAAUUAUUGGGCGUAAAGAGCUCGUAGGCGGUUUGUCGCGUCUGCGGUGAAAACCCGAGGCUCAACCGCGGGCC